UGGAACACUGCUUCUGUCAUUUGUCCUUUCAGCAGAUUAUGGGAGCAGAGUUUUUCC
This 57-nucleotide microRNA precursor is filed under the name Lepisosteus oculatus (spotted gar). RNAcentral's name for it is "Loc-Novel-2_pre stem-loop". Lineage: Eukaryota; Metazoa; Chordata; Actinopteri; Semionotiformes; Lepisosteidae. The record is from RNAcentral.